AGCCCCUGUUCUGCAUGGCACAGUACAAACAAUAGGAAGACACAGUCCAUACCCCAAAGAGUUUACAUUCUCAUGAAGCCAACAGCCAUGAUAACUUCCUGGUCUGAGAAGUUUCAGCACCAUCCAGGCCCUCAAAUGAAACUGAUUAACAAUGGUGCACAACUGACAUCAAGGAAUGCAGAGAUCAAGGACGCAUGAAAAAUAUUCUGCUGUUUCUGUACCAAUGAAUAUUGAGAAUGUUCAGUAUAAACCUAAGAGAACAAAGGAGUGGCAUAUGGGAUCACAGUAAUUGCCAUUAGUCAGGCAUCCUAUUUCUGAAACUGGAAUGUACCAGAUGCUGCAAUGGAAGGCGUAAAACCACCAGUCUUAAAAUUGUAAAUGUGCUUGAAAAUACAUUUGUUUACGUAACUUUUCUGUGAUAGGUCUUGAGCUAGUCAUCUUUUCUUUGUCUACAACUUUCAUUUACAACAUAAUCUGAUAGGGAUAUGUAGGACAGAAGAGAAAAUGGCAAUGGAAAUGUAUGUUAAAAGUCAGUUAAAA
Long non-coding RNA from Mauremys mutica (yellowpond turtle), 540 nucleotides. RefSeq lists it as uncharacterized. NCBI's taxonomy places the organism in Eukaryota, Metazoa, Chordata, Testudines, Geoemydidae. The transcript is spliced from 3 exons. The record is from RefSeq and is a predicted model, not a curated record.